AUUGAACGCUGGCGGCAUGCUUUACACAUGCAAGUCGAACGGCAGCGCGGGCUUCGGCCUGGCGGCGAGUGGCGAACGGGUGAGUAAUGCAUCGGAACGUGCCCAGUAGUGGGGGAUAGCCCGGCGAAAGCCGGAUUAAUACCGCAUACGACCUGAGGGUGAAAGCGGGGGACCGAAAGGCCUCGCGCUAUUGGAGCGGCCGAUGUCGGAUUAGCUAGUUGGUGGGGUAAAGGCUUACCAAGGCGACGAUCCGUAGCUGGUCUGAGAGGACGACCAGCCACACUGGGACUUAGACACGGCCCAGACUCCUACGGGAGGCAGCAGUGGGGAAUUUUGGACAAUGGGGGCAACCCUGAUCCAGCCAUGCCGCGUGCGGGAAGAAGGCCUUCGGGUUGUAAACCGCUUUUGUUCGGGAAGAAAUCCUCUGGGCUAAUACCCCGGGGGGAUGACGGUACCGGAAGAAUAAGCACCGGCUAACUACGUG
RNAcentral lists this ribosomal RNA (484 nucleotides) under uncultured bacterium. RNAcentral describes it as "partial 16S ribosomal RNA". It matches the Rfam family "Bacterial small subunit ribosomal RNA", at positions 28 to 507 of the family's 1533-position model. The record is from RNAcentral.